ACAUGCUUAGUAACUUAGUAUUGUUUUGGCCGAAAAGGGAAGGGUACGAUUUUGGAUUUCGGUCGAAAAGGGAAGUGAACGAUUUUGGUUAUUUCCUACUUUUGUUGGAAAUCUAUUUCCGCUCAAAAAAGUUAACAUUUUUAAAAUUUUUGAUUAAUAAUAAUAAAAUAAGUAAGUAUCUACACAUACAAACCCAACAAGGCCCAGGGAGGAGCGAUCGCCCCUAUUGCCCCCUCUUGUAUACGCGCCUGCAAAUUUGCUAUAUCUUCGCUAUUUUUCUGUAAACCUAUAAUAACGUAUAGUGGUUUUUCCAGUUUGGAAGCGGUUUUCAAAUUCCAAACAACUUUUUUCGAGUUACCAAGUUCCGGAUAUUCAUAUAAUCAUAUUAUGUUUCAUGUGACCUAAAUGGUAUAAAAAGCCUUUUUUUCAUUUUCUAUGUUUUUCAUUAUCAUCUACGCUCACAUAUGAGACUUUCCAAAUUAUUUUUUAAUGUCUAGUACAGCAGCAGUUGUUGAUAAUGCUGUUCCCGCGAUAAAAAAAAAGAUUACACCACACAGAUCGUUCCGGUACUGACAAGCAUACGAUAAUAAUAAUAAAACUAAAAUAUAUAAUGAAAAUUUUUUAUAUAGGUAUACAGCUACCAGGAUACUUUUCCAACAAUGUGCAUUUUCACGACAACAAC
Molecule: non-coding RNA, 682 nt
Organism: Cinara cedri
Lineage: Eukaryota; Metazoa; Arthropoda; Insecta; Hemiptera; Aphididae
Source: the annotation of a GenBank genome assembly